This 253-nucleotide ribosomal RNA is filed under the name uncultured bacterium. Its description in RNAcentral is "partial 16S ribosomal RNA". It matches the Rfam family "Bacterial small subunit ribosomal RNA", at positions 524 to 776 of the family's 1533-position model. The record is from RNAcentral.
UACAGAGGGGGCAAGCGUUGUCCGGAAUUAUUGGGCGUAAAGAGCUCGUAGGCGGUUUGUCGCGUCUGCUGUGAAAACUCGGGGCUUAACCCCGGGCCUGCAGUGGGUACGGGCAGACUAGAGUGCGGUAGGGGAGACUGGAAUUCCUGGUGUAGCGGUGAAAUGCGCAGAUAUCAGGAGGAACACCGGUGGCGAAGGCGGGUCUCUGGGCCGAUACUGACGCUGAGGAGCGAAAGCGUGGGGAGCGAACAGG